Molecule: non-coding RNA, 87 nt
Filed under: uncultured Clostridium sp.
Lineage: Bacteria; Bacillati; Bacillota; Clostridia; Eubacteriales; Clostridiaceae
Description: Purine riboswitch
Rfam family: Purine riboswitch aptamer
About the family: Riboswitches are metabolite binding domains within certain messenger RNAs that serve as precision sensors for their corresponding targets. Allosteric rearrangement of mRNA structure is mediated by ligand binding, and this results in modulation of gene expression.
Source: RNAcentral
UAUACAGAAAACAAUAUCUAUAUAAUUCUCAUAAUAGGGUUGAGAAGUUUCUACGAGAGAACCAUAAAUUCUCUGUCUAUGGAUGUU